This 611-nucleotide ribosomal RNA is filed under the name Boana polytaenia (Cope's eastern Paraguay treefrog). RNAcentral describes it as "Hypsiboas polytaenius (Cope's eastern Paraguay treefrog) partial 16S ribosomal RNA". It matches the Rfam family "Bacterial large subunit ribosomal RNA", at positions 1796 to 2620 of the family's 2925-position model. The record is from RNAcentral. Lineage: Eukaryota; Metazoa; Chordata; Amphibia; Anura; Hylidae.
UCGCCUGUUUUACAAAAACAUCGCCUCUUGACAAACAUAAGAGGUCCAGCCUGCCCAGUGACCUAGUUCAACGGCCGCGGUAUCCUAACCGUGCGAAGGUAGCGUAAUCACUUGUUCUUUAAAUGAGGACUAGUAUGAAUGGCACCACGAGGGUUACACUGUCUCCUUUUUUUAAUCAGUGAAACUGAUCUUCCCGUGAAGAAGCGGGAAUUUUUUUAUAAGACGAGAAGACCCUAUGGAGCUUUAAACAAAUUAACACUUGCUGCCUAAAAUUAAUCUUCCAGAAGCAUAACAUAUAGCAUAGCAUUAUGAUUAAUAGUUUUCGAUUGGGGUGAUCACGGAGUAAAAAACAACCUCCAUGCCGAAAGGGGCCUCCCCUGAGCAAAAAGCCACAACUUUAAGCACUAAAAAAUUAACGUUAAUUGACCCAAUAACUUGAUCAACGAACCAAGUUACCCUAGGGAUAACAGCGCAAUCCACUUCAAGAGCUCCUAUCGACAAGUGGGUUUACGACCUCGAUGUUGGAUCAGGGUAUCCCUAGUGGUGCAGCCGCUACUAAUGGUUCGUUUGUUCAACGAUUAAAACCCUACGUGAUCUGAGUUCAGACCGGA